GCCAGAGUAAUUUUGCCAGUCUGACCAGAGCUUGUGCUAACCUUGUUUUGUUUCGCUGCUUCCUGCUAGUACCUGUGAGGCGUGGGCGGUUUCCUCUCAACCUGGACCUGGACAUCCAGAACCUCUUUCAAACAGUUUGUGAUUUUUGGACUAUGACCACUAGACUGUGGUUUGGCUCCUGUGUAAACACAGACUUGCUGUAGACCGUUCUUUAUUGGACUACCUGACUCCCAAGCCCGACGGUAAAAGAUCUCCCUGGAGUUUUCUGCUGUGACUCAUAAUGACUUCCGAGAUAAACUAUGAUGUGGGGGAUCGUGAACUCCUGGCCAUCAAGCUCGCCCUGGAGGAGUGGCAUCACUGGCUCGAGCGCACAGAACAUCGGUGCUGGUCUGGACGGAUCACAAGAACCUUUCCUAUCUCCAGUCAGCAAAAAGACUGAACCCAUGACUGUCCCGUUGGUCCCUAUUCUUCUCUCGGUUCAACCUCAUCAUCUCAUAUCGCCGUGGGACAAAGAAUGUUAAGCCUGACGCUCUCUCCUGUCAGUUUUCGCCUGAUGUGACCUGUCAGGGUCCAGACACCAUUCUUCCACCUAGCUGCAAGACCGGCUGUUACAUGGGAGAUCAAUAAAUUGGUCACUCAAGCAUUACUUACAGACCCUGGUCCUACCAACUACCCCCCGAACAAGACUUUUGUUCCUCUAUCUGUUCGUUCCCGUUUGAUACAAUGGUUUCACAACUCUAAGUUCUCUGUACAUCCUGGUUCGUUCCACACCAUCGCCCUGAUCUCUUGUCGUUUCUGGUGGCCCUGUCUACAUAACGACAUCAAGGGCUUUGUGGGGGCCUGCACAACCUGUGCCUGAAGUAAACCCCCCGCUGGACUCCUUCAACCACUGCCCAUACCUAAAAGGCCUUGGUCACAUAUAGCACUGGACUUUGUUACUGGGUUACCACCCUCACGUGGUAUGACCACUAUCCUGACAGUGGUGGACAGGUUCUCCAAGUCAUGUCACCUGGUCGCUUUGACCUGUUGACUCUGCUACAGGUGUUCUUGAUCAUUGGUUGAUUGUGUACCUGGGAGGAGUAUUUAGGAGCCAGCCAGAGUGUAUUGCCAAUGUGGUAAUCACCAAGCCAGAGUAAUUUUGCCAGUCUGACCAGAGCUUGUGCUAACCUUGUUUUGUUUCUCUGCUUCCUGCUAGUGCCUGUGAGGUGUGGGUGGUUUCUUCUCAACCUGGACCUGGACAUCCAGAUUUUGAGAAUUUUGAGGAUUUAUUUCUAUGAAGCCAGUACUAACCAGUACCUCUCUCUUUAGUAAAUCCGAGAAGUCUGAAGUACCUGCCUGAGCACUCUCGACCGGGUUCUGGCGUGACAAGUAUUACUGACUGCAAAUAAAACCUUGAACCUUA
Molecule: long non-coding RNA, 1402 nt
Organism: Girardinichthys multiradiatus
Lineage: Eukaryota; Metazoa; Chordata; Actinopteri; Cyprinodontiformes; Goodeidae
Exons: 2
Source: RefSeq, a predicted model, not a curated record